Brassica oleracea var. oleracea is the source of this 686-nucleotide long non-coding RNA. RefSeq lists it as uncharacterized. NCBI's taxonomy places the organism in Eukaryota, Viridiplantae, Streptophyta, Magnoliopsida, Brassicales, Brassicaceae. The record is from RefSeq and is a predicted model, not a curated record. The transcript is spliced from 4 exons.
CAUCUACCAUUCUUGCUGCUCUCAAGUAUGGACGCUGUUCAUCCACCGUGGAGGUGGAGGUACGGCUUCUCCGGUUUUGGGAAGCCAGAAACAUUAAACGUGGUGGCCACUUCAUGGGAGUAGAUAUGCUUCUUCUGGAUUCUAAGGCGAUGCUGAUACCCGCCACCAUCAACGUGAACCGUCUUCCCACCUACCGGGGACACUUGAAGGUAGAUACCCGCUACAAGAUCGUUUAGGGUACUGUUAUACGAGCUGCAAAUCCAGCACAAACCUCGAGUUCAGAAGAUUCCUCACAAGAGCUAUCAAGUCCAGAAGAUUCCACCGAGUCGCAAGAUCUACCAAGUACGCCUUUGACAUCAGAAAAUAGUCUUGAGAAAGCAGAGUCUGCAGCAAAAGCUCUUGCAGUUGCUGAUUCCAAAGUGUUCGAAGCCAAAGAGGCAUCCCAAGUUGCAGAUACGGGCCCAAAGAAGUCUCUGGCCGAUGUGCUAAAAGGCGAAACUGUUGAACUACGGUAGAGCUUUAUACCUUGUGGUCCGGUUCAAUGUAGAUGUAAAGGACUGUUUUUUUAAUAGGUUUUGGCUUUGAGAACAAAAAUAAAGAGUACAUGUAUAUGAUAUUUCAUUGACUAUUGACAUUGUCACUUUCUGGUUAGUUUUUGAUGUUAAGUACGGUUCUGGAUGUUAAUA